UACGUAGGGUGCAAGCGUUAAUCGGAAUUACUGGGCGUAAAGCGUGCGCAGGCGGUUAUGUAAGACAGGUGUGAAAUCCCCGGGCUUAACCUGGGAACUGCAUUUGUGACUGCAUAGCUAGAGUACGGUAGAGGGGGAUGGAAUUCCGCGUGUAGCAGUGAAAUGCGUAGAUAUGCGGAGGAACACCGAUGGCGAAGGCUAUCCCCUGGACCUGUACUGACGCUCAUGCACGAAAGCGUGGGGAGCAAACAGG
Molecule: ribosomal RNA, 253 nt
Filed under: uncultured bacterium
Lineage: Bacteria
Description: partial 16S ribosomal RNA
Rfam family: Bacterial small subunit ribosomal RNA
Source: RNAcentral